This 342-nucleotide ribosomal RNA is filed under the name Triticum aestivum (bread wheat). RNAcentral describes it as "partial small subunit ribosomal RNA". Lineage: Eukaryota; Viridiplantae; Streptophyta; Magnoliopsida; Poales; Poaceae. The record is from RNAcentral.
AUGAAGGGGCGGUUGGGAGCUCUGAAAGGUUCUACGGCUGCUUGUGCAGAGAGCCCCUCUACACCCAAGAAUCCCAUUGUGGAAUUGAUAGAUAGUGAUGAUGAUGCGUUUGACAAGAUUGCUGGCGUGGGAGGAGUUACCAGGAGUGCUGCUGUCAAGGGUGCAUCUCCCCUUGUUGGAAUAGUGGCCCGUAGAGCUGGUGCUGCUAGGAAGGAUCCUGCUUUGGAUUCUGGCAAUGUUGUAACCACAAAGCGUGGGCCCAGAGCUCCUAUAAAGUUUUGCUCCCCUGUGCAGCAGCUUCAGCCUCAUAAUUUCCCUCAUCUGGACAAGGCUCGCAAGUAG